CCUAAGGUAGCGAAAUUCCUUGUCGGGUAAGUUCCGACCUGCACGAAUGGCGUAAUGAUGGCCAGGCUGUCUCCACCCGAGACUCAGUGAAAUUGAACUCGCUGUGAAGAUGCAGUGUACCCGCGGCAAGACGGAAAGACCCCGUGAACCUUUACUAUAGCUUGACACUGAACAUUGAGCCUUGAUGUGUAGGAUAGGUGGGAGGCUUAGAAGUGUGGACGCCAGUCUGCAUGGAGCCGACCUUGAAAUACCACCCUUUAAUGUUUGAUGUUCUAACGUUGACCCGUAAUCCGGGUUGCGGACAGUGUCUGGUGGGUAGUUUGACUGGGGCGGUCUCCUCCUAAAGAGUAACGGAGGAGCACGAAGGUUGGCUAAUCCUGGUCGGACAUCAGGAGGUUAGUGCAAUGGCAUAAGCCAGCUUGACUGCGAGCGUGACGGCGCGAGCAGGUGCGAAAGCAGGUCAUAGUGAUCCGGUGGUUCUGAAUGGAAGGGCCAUCGCUCAACGGAUAAAAGGUACUCCGGGGAUAACAGGCUGAUACCGCCCAAGAGUUCAUAUCGACGGCGGUGUUUGGCACCUCGAUGUCGGCUCAUCACAUCCUGGGGCUGAAGUAGGUCCCAAGGGUAUGGCUGUUCGCCAUUUAAAGUGGUACGCGAGCUGGGUUUAGAACGUCGUGAGACAGUUCGGUCCCUAUCUGCCGUGGGCGCUGGAGAACUGAGGGGGGCUGCUCCUAGUACGAGAGGACCGGAGUGGACGCAUCACUGGUGUUCGGGUUGUCAUGCCAAUGGCACUGCCCGGUAGCUAAAUGCGGAAGAGAUAAGUGCUGAAAGCAUCUAAGCACGAAACUUGCCCCGAGAUGAGUUCUCCCUGACCCUUUAAGGGUCCUGAAGGAACGUUGAAGACGACGACGUUGAUAGGCCGGGUGUGUAAGCGCAGCGAUGCGUUGAGCUAACCGGUACUAAUGAACCGUGAGGCUUAACCUU
Molecule: ribosomal RNA, 981 nt
Filed under: human gut metagenome
Description: bacterial LSU rRNA
Rfam family: Bacterial large subunit ribosomal RNA
Source: RNAcentral